UCCGGCUUAACGCCGGCGGUCUCUCUAGAGUGCCCAACUGAAUGAUGGCAACUAAAGAUAAGGGUUGCGCUCGUUAAGGGACUUAACCCGACAUCUCACGAUACGAGCUGACGACAGCCAUGCAGCACCUGAACCGUCGGUCCCCGAAGGGAAAACCGUAUCUCUACGGCUGUCCGACGUUGUCUAACCCAGGUAAGGUUCUUCGCGUUGCAUCGAAUUAAACCACAUGCUCCACCGCUUGUGCGGGCCCCCGUCAAUUCCUUUGAGUUUUAAUCUUGCGACCGUACUUCCCAGGCGGGGUACUUAAUGCGUUAGCGUCGGCACUGCAGGGGUCAAUUCCCGCAACACCUAGUACCCAUCGUUUACAGCGUGGACUAC
Molecule: unclassified non-coding RNA, 378 nt
Filed under: uncultured Oligoflexales bacterium
Lineage: Bacteria; Pseudomonadati; Bdellovibrionota; Oligoflexia; Oligoflexales
Description: contains 16S-23S intergenic spacer region
Source: RNAcentral